UGGGGAAUAUUGCACAAUGGGCGCAAGCCUGAUGCAGCCAUGCCGCGUGUGUGAAGAAGGCCUUCGGGUUGUAAAGCACUUUCAGCGGGGAGGAAGGCGAUAAGGUUAAUAACCUUGUCGAUUGACGUUAACCGCAGAAGAAGCACCGGCUAACUCCGUGCCAGCAGCCGCGGUAAUACGGAGGGUGCAAGCGUUAAUCGGAAUUACUGGGCGUAAAGCGCACGCAGGCGGUCUGUCAAGUCGGAUGUGAAAUCCCCGGGCUCAACCUGGGAACUGCAUUCGAAACUGGCAGGCUAGAGUCUUGUAGAGGGGGGUAGAAUUCCAGGUGUAGCGGUGAAAUGCGUAGAGAUCUGGAGGAAUACCGGUGGCGAAGGCGGCCCCCUGAACGAAGACUGACGCUCAGGUGCGAAAGCGUGGGGAGCAAACAGG
RNAcentral lists this ribosomal RNA (429 nucleotides) under Chloroflexota bacterium. Its description in RNAcentral is "Chloroflexi bacterium partial 16S ribosomal RNA". It matches the Rfam family "Bacterial small subunit ribosomal RNA", at positions 355 to 776 of the family's 1533-position model. The record is from RNAcentral. Lineage: Bacteria; Bacillati; Chloroflexota.